UAAGAAACCACGGCGGACAUCAUCCAAAUAGGGGUUAACACGUGCAAAGAGAACCAUCACUCUUGACAUCAUCCUUAAGAACGUGCCAAAGCACAUCGAUCGUCGGAUCGAAUUGAUCGUCGUACAACUGCGAUCAACGGAACCAUCUAUCACAGCCCGAAUCCAGCAGUAACAGCACUUCGUUCGCUCACGGCUUCACCAAACUACCUUUCCCGUACUAUAGAUAAAAAUUAUUUGUGGGGAAGAAGCUUCUGCUUCAGCAACUGAACCGCCAUGUCCUCCUCCGAUCCCGAUAAGUUGAUCGUCAAGGCCGAUAAGCUAACAAAACUGAGUCUCACAAGGUGGAGUGCUGAUUGGAAAAGUGCCACUCUUUUGUACGAGCAAGCUGCUAAUGGUUUUAGGGUUGCCAAGAAAUAUGAGAAAGCAAAAGCAGCAUUUGAAAUGGCUUCCAAAGGACAAGAGAUACUCUCUUCCCCCUGGGAUGCUGCUAAGCAUAUGGAGUCAGCUGCUGCUCUAGCAAAGGAACUAGGCAAGUGGAAUGAAGUUGCUGAUCUUUAUAGAAGGGCAUCUGAGCUGUAUAUUGAGUGUGGGAGAUCACAACCUGCAUCGGAUGCUCUAGCGAAGGGUGCUCGUGCCUUGGAAGAUGCUGUUCCUGAUGUUGCUGUUCAACUUUAUAUUGAUGCUUCUGAUAUUCUUGAAGAGGAUGGCAAGGAGCAAAUGACCUUUGAUCUAUAUCGUGCUGCUGCUGGUGUUUAUAUAAAGCUUGAGAAGUAUACAGAUGCUGCGGCUGUCUUGUUGAGAUUGGGUCUAGCGGCUGAUAAAUGCAAUGCCACCAAUAGCCAGUGCAAAGCGUAUCUUGGGGCAAUUAUUGUGUAUCUUUAUGCUCAUGAUUUCAAGCAAGCAGAGAAGUGCUACAAUGAUUGUUCACAGAUUGAUGCUUUCUUGAGAAGUGACCAGAACCGCUGUGCUAGUAAACUUCUUUCUGCUUAUACUGAAGGUGAUAUUGAAGAGAUUAAACGUCUUUCUCAGUCUAGCACUAUUUCAAAUCUUGACCAUGUGGGGAAAUCAAAACAAUUCAAAGUUCCCUUUUAGUUAAUGCUGUUAUGGACUUCACAACUUAUUAACUUGUAACCAUUGGUGUCUUGCUUAUGAUGUGUCUGACUUGCCCUAGAUCAGACAGCAUUUAUAGGUUAUUAGGCUUGCAAGAAAACUUCCUACUGGAGAUCUUAGCGCAUUUAAAACUGAUGCUGCUGAAGAAGAAGAGCCAUUGGAUGAGAAUGACCUCACAUAGUUUUCUCAUUCUCUAGAGGAUUGGUAACAGUUAUAUAAUUGGGGUUUUGGUGCGUGUAAAGCAUAUUAUAAUUUCAUUUGGUUUGAUAUUCAGUGUUAUUCCUUGCCUUUUGUUCUCUAAGAGGUGUAAUGUUUCACAAAAUGAUUUUAUUGUAUGCAAUUAGUAUUGUUUCACAAA
Hevea brasiliensis (rubber tree) is the source of this 1468-nucleotide RNA transcript. It is a transcript of the gene named gamma-soluble NSF attachment protein, with no coding region annotated. Lineage: Eukaryota; Viridiplantae; Streptophyta; Magnoliopsida; Malpighiales; Euphorbiaceae. The record is from RefSeq and is a predicted model, not a curated record. The transcript has 10 exons.